This 378-nucleotide unclassified non-coding RNA is filed under the name plant metagenome. RNAcentral describes it as "partial contains 5.8S ribosomal RNA, internal transcribed spacer 2, and large subunit ribosomal RNA". The stretch from base 1 to 105 matches the Rfam family "5.8S ribosomal RNA", at positions 50 to 154 of the family's 154-position model. The record is from RNAcentral.
GAAAUGCGAUAAGUAAUGUGAAUUGCAGAAUUCAGUGAAUCAUCGAAUCUUUGAGCGCACCUUGCGCUCCUUGGUAUUCCUUGGAGCAUGCCUGUUUGAGUAUCAUGAAAUCUUCAAAGUAAAUCUUUUGUUAACUCAAUUGGUUUCUACUUUGGUAUUGGAGGUCUUUGCAGCUUCACACCUGCUCCUCUUUGUUCAUUAGCUGGAUCUCAGUGUUAUGCUUGGUUCCACUCGGCGUGAUAAGUUAUCUAUCGCUGAGGACACUGUAAAAGGUGGCCAAGGUAAAUGCAGAUGAACCGCUUCUAAUAGUCCAUUGACUUGGACAAUACUUUUAUGAUCUGAUCUCAAAUCAGGUAGGACUACCCGCUGAACUUAAGC